This 208-nucleotide microRNA precursor is filed under the name Oryza sativa Japonica Group (Japanese rice). RNAcentral's name for it is "MIR812 microRNA precursor family". It matches the Rfam family "MIR812 microRNA precursor family". The record is from Rfam by way of RNAcentral. Lineage: Eukaryota; Viridiplantae; Streptophyta; Magnoliopsida; Poales; Poaceae.
AAAAAGACAAACCAUGGUUUCCGUGCCCAACGUUUGACCGUCCGUCUUAUUUGAAAAAAAAUUAUGAAAAAAAAUUAAAAAGACAAGUCACGCAUAAAAUAUUAAUUAUGUUUUAUCAUCUAGCAACAAUAAAAAUACGAAUUAUAAAAAAAUUUCAUAUAAGACGGACAAUCAAAGUUGGACACGGAAACCCAUGGUUUGCCUUUUU